Molecule: long non-coding RNA, 319 nt
Organism: Myotis davidii
Lineage: Eukaryota; Metazoa; Chordata; Mammalia; Chiroptera; Vespertilionidae
Exons: 2
Source: RefSeq, a predicted model, not a curated record
GGCAGAUUGAGGGGUCUGGACCAACUGGAAAAGGCCACAGCCCAUCCCCAUGGUGACUGAGUUGUAUAUAGGGAGCUGCAUCCGCCCAUGUGCCGCAGGUUCUCUUACAUCGACCGCCUAAGAGUCGCGCUGUAAGAAGCAACAACAAGCUCUCCUCUUCCUCUCCGCCAUCCGCUCGGCAGCCUCAAAGCAGCAACCAUGCGUGAGUGCAUCUCCAUCCAUGUUGGCCAGGCUGGUGUCCAGAUCGGCAAUGCCUGCUGGGAGCUCUACUGCCUGGAACACGGCAUCCAGCCCGAUGGCCAGAUGCCAAGUGACAAGA